Molecule: non-coding RNA, 101 nt
Filed under: Elusimicrobiota bacterium
Lineage: Bacteria; Pseudomonadati; Elusimicrobiota
Description: Elusimicrobia bacterium TPP sequence
Rfam family: TPP riboswitch aptamer (THI element)
About the family: Vitamin B(1) in its active form thiamin pyrophosphate (TPP) is an essential coenzyme that is synthesised by coupling of pyrimidine and thiazole moieties in bacteria.
Source: RNAcentral
GCGGCACGCUAGGGGUCCUGGAGCGCGUUCGCUUCGGGUGAGAAAAACCCUCUGAACCUGACCUGGAUAAUACCAGCGUAGGGAAGCGUGAAGCGCGUUUC